This 1489-nucleotide long non-coding RNA is filed under the name Salmo salar (Atlantic salmon). Its description in RNAcentral is "lncRNA (ENSSSAG00000081943.1)". The record is from RNAcentral. Lineage: Eukaryota; Metazoa; Chordata; Actinopteri; Salmoniformes; Salmonidae.
CAGUAACAGCAGUAUACUGUAGGUAGGGGUAAAGGAUAGAUAAUAGACAGUAACAGCAGUAUACUGUAGGUAGGGGUAAAGGAUAGGUAAUAGACAGUAACAGCAGUAUACUGUCGGUAGGGGUAAAGGAUAGAUAAUAGACAGUAACAGCAGUAUACUGUAGGUAGGGGUAAAGGAUAGAUAAUAGACAGUAGCAGCAGUAUACUGUAGGUAGGGGUAAAGGAUAGGUAAUAGACAGUAACAGCAGUAUACUGUAGGUAGGGGUAAAGGAUAGAUAAUAGACAGUAACAGCAGUAUACUGUAGGUAGGGGUAAAGGAUAGAUAAUAGACAGUAACAGCAGUAUACUGUAGGUAGGGGUAAAGGAUAGAUAAUAGACAGUAACAGCAGUAUACUGUAGGUAGGGGUAAAGGAUAGAUAAUAGACAGUAACAGCAGUAUACUGUAGGUAGGGGCAAAGGAUAGAUAAUAGACAGUAACAGCAGUAUACUGUAGGUAGGGGUAAAGGAUAGAUAAUAGACAGUAACAGCAGUAUACUGUAGGUAGGGGUAAAGGAUAGAUAAUAGACAGUAACAGCAGUAUACUGUAGGUAGGGGUAAAGGAUAGAUAAUAGACAGUAACAGCAGUAUACUGUAGGUAGGGGUAAAGGAUAGAUAAUAGACAGUAACAGCAGUAUACUGUCGGUAGGGGUAAAGGAUAGAUAAUAGACAGUAGCAGCAGUAUACUGUAGGUAGGGGUAAAGGAUAGAUAAUAGACAGUAACAGCAGUAUACUGUAGGUAGGGGUAAAGGAUAGAUAAUAGACAGUAACAGCAGUAUACUGUAGGUAGGGGUAAAGGAUAGAUAAUAGACAGUAACAGCAGUAUAUGUGAUGAGUCAAAAGAGUUGAGAGUGCAAAAAGGGUCAAUGCAGAUAGUCCAGGUAGCUAUUUAGUUAGCUAUUUAACUAACUAUUUAUCAGUCUUAUAGCUUGGGGCUAGAAGCUGUUCAGGGUCCUGUUGGUUCCGGACUUUGAGAGGAGCAGGGGCCAGUGUGUGUUUAGCAGAGAGAGAGAACGCCAAGCCGACUCACGUCAGUUAGACAAACUUGUUGCUGCCAUAGGUUAUCCAUCAUAUCAUCUGGUAGUGCCUAUCAUGACUGCAUUAACUUGUUAGCUAGCUAAGAGUAGCCAGCUAAUUUAGCCGGCUAGCUAGCUAGCUACAGUAAAGCAAAACAUGUUUCUGCUCUCCCUGUCCAAUGUCUACAUUCAUAUGAAACAACAGCCCAACAGCCUCAUUGUAGCCUAUUCCUUCUCAUUUAGCCAACUUCAUUCCAUAAUUUGUGUGUGUGCAUGUAUGUGUGUGUGAUGGAACUGACAGCUCAUGCUGAGGGAGACAGAGUAGUAGUCUGUGUGUGUGUGUGUGUGUGUGUGUGUGAGAGAGAGAGAGAGAAAGAGAUGGGACUGACAGCUGAGGGAGACAGAGUAGUAGUCUGUGUGUGUGUGUGUGUGUGUGUG